This 473-nucleotide ribosomal RNA is filed under the name uncultured bacterium. RNAcentral's name for it is "bacterial SSU rRNA". It matches the Rfam family "Bacterial small subunit ribosomal RNA", at positions 335 to 799 of the family's 1533-position model. The record is from RNAcentral.
ACUCCUACGGGAGGCAGCAGUAGGGAAUCUUCCACAAUGGGCGAAAGCCUGAUGGAGCAACGCCGCGUGGGUGAAGAAGGUCUUCGGAUCGUAAAACCCUGUUGUUAGAGAAGAAAGUGCGUGAGAGUAACUGUUCACGUUUCGACGGUAUCUAACCAGAAAGCCACGGCUAACUACGUGCCAGCAGCCGCGGUAAUACGUAGGUGGCAAGCGUUAUCCGGAUUUAUUGGGGCGUAAAGGGAACGCAGGCGGUCUUUUAAGUCUGAUGUGAAAGCCUUCGGCUUAACCGGAGUAGUGCAUUGGAAACUGGGGACUUGAGUGCAGAAGAGGAGAGUGGAACUCCAUGUGUAGCGGUGAAAUGCGUAGAUAUAUGGAAGAACACCAGUGGCGAAAGCGGCUCUCUGGUCUGUAACUGACGCUGAGGUUCGAAAGCGUGGGUUGCAAACAGGAUUAGAUACCCUGGUAGGAUAGCG